GACGAACGCUGGCGGCGUGCUUAACACAUGCCAGUCGAACGGAAAGGCCCUGCUUUUGUGGGGUGCCCGAGUGGCGAACGGGUGAGUAACACGUGAGUAACCUGCCCUUGACUUUGGGAUAACUUCAGGAAACUGGGGCUAAUACCGGAUAGGAGCUGCUGCUGGGGGGUGGGGGUUGGAAAGUUUAGGCGGGUGGGGAUGGACGCGCGGCUUAUCAGCUUGUUGGUGGGGUAGUGGCUUACCCAGGCAUUGACGGGUAGCCGGCCGGGGAGGGUGACCGGCCACAUUGGGACUGAGAUACGGCCCAGACUCCUACGGGAGGCAGCAGUCGGGAAUAUUGCACAAUGGGCCGAAGCCUGAUGCAGCAACGCCGCGUUCGGGAUGACGGCCUUCGGGUUGUAAACCGCUGUCGCCUGUGACGAAGCGUGAGUGACGGUAAUGGGUAAAGAAGCACCGGCUAACUACGUG
RNAcentral lists this ribosomal RNA (468 nucleotides) under uncultured bacterium. Its description in RNAcentral is "partial 16S ribosomal RNA". It matches the Rfam family "Bacterial small subunit ribosomal RNA", at positions 28 to 507 of the family's 1533-position model. The record is from RNAcentral.